CGCCUUGCCAGCCCGCUCAGAAACUUCAAUGAAUUGACGGGGGCCCGCACAAGCGGAGGAGCAUGUGGUUUAAUUCGAUGAUACGCGAGGAACCUUACCUGGGCUUAAAUGCUUAAUGACGUACUGGGAAACUGGUAUUUCUUCGGACAUUUUGCAAGGUGCUGCAUGGUUGUCGUCAGCUCGUGCCGUGAGGUGUCGGGUUAAGUCCCAUAACGAGCGCAACCCCUAUUGUUAGUUGCCAUCAGGUCAUGCUGGGGACUCUAACAAAACUGCCCGCGUAAGCGUGGAGGAAGGUGGGGAUGACGUCAAAUCAGCACGGCCCUUACGUCCAGGGCUACACACGUGCUACAAUGGCCGGUACAGAGGGCAGCCACUUGGUGACAAGGAGCAAAUCUCAAAAGCCGGUCUCAGUUCGGAUCGGAGUCUGCAACUCGACUCCGUGAAGUUGGAUUCGCUAGUAAUCGUAGAUCAGCAAUGCUACGGUGAAUACGUUCCCGGGCCUU
Molecule: ribosomal RNA, 503 nt
Filed under: uncultured Bacteroidota bacterium
Lineage: Bacteria; Pseudomonadati; Bacteroidota
Description: bacterial SSU rRNA
Rfam family: Bacterial small subunit ribosomal RNA
Source: RNAcentral